This 253-nucleotide ribosomal RNA is filed under the name uncultured bacterium. Its description in RNAcentral is "partial 16S ribosomal RNA". It matches the Rfam family "Bacterial small subunit ribosomal RNA", at positions 524 to 776 of the family's 1533-position model. The record is from RNAcentral.
UACGGAGGGUGCAAGCGUUAUCCGGAUUCACUGGGUUUAAAGGGUGCGUAGGUGGGUUCGUAAGUCAGUGGUGAAAUCUCCGAGCUUAACUUGGAAACUGCCAUUGAUACUAUGAGUCUUGAAUAUUGUGGAGGUCAGCGGAAUAUGUCAUGUAGCGGUGAAAUGCUUAGAUAUGACAUAGAACACCAAUUGCGAAGGCAGCUGGCUACGCAUAUAUUGACACUGAGGCACGAAAGCCAGGGGAGCGAACGGG